GCAGACACAUUCCAGCCAAUCAGCAGCAGACCCUCCCUCCCAGACCCUCCCACCACCUGGACAGCAUCCAUUUUGAAGCUGCAUUCUUAGUGAGCUGUCCAGAAGGUGGGAGGGUCUGGGAGGGAGGGUCUGCUGCUGAUUGGCUGGAAUGUGUCUG
Molecule: microRNA precursor, 157 nt
Filed under: Pelobates cultripes (western spadefoot toad)
Lineage: Eukaryota; Metazoa; Chordata; Amphibia; Anura; Pelobatidae
Source: RNAcentral